RNAcentral lists this ribosomal RNA (496 nucleotides) under uncultured bacterium. Its description in RNAcentral is "partial 16S ribosomal RNA". It matches the Rfam family "Bacterial small subunit ribosomal RNA", at positions 28 to 506 of the family's 1533-position model. The record is from RNAcentral.
GACGAACGCUGGCGGCGUGCCUAAUACAUGCAAGUUGAGCGCUGAGGGUUGGUACUUGUCCCAACUGGAUGAGCAGCGAACGGGUGAGUAACGCGUGGGGAAUCUGCCUUUGAGCGGGGGACAACAUUUGGAAACGAAUGCUAAUACCGCAUAAAAACUUUAAACACAAGUUUUAAGUUUGAAAGAUGCAAUUGCAUCACUCAAAGAUGAUCCCGCGUUGUAUUAGCUAGUUGGUGAGGUAAAGGCUCACCAAGGCGAUGAUACAUAGCCGACCUGAGAGGGUGAUCGGCCACAUUGGGACUGAGACACGGCCCAAACUCCUACGGGAGGCAGCAGUAGGGAAUCUUCGGCAAUGGACGAAAGUCUGACCGAGCAACGCCGCGUGAGUGAAGAAGGUUUUCGGAUCGUAAAACUCUGUUGGUAGAGAAGAACGUGGGUGAGAGUGGAAAGCUCAUCAAGUGACGGGAACUACCCAGAAAGGGACGGCUAACUACGU